This 72-nucleotide transfer RNA is filed under the name Melanostoma scalare. Its description in RNAcentral is "tRNA-Ala". It matches the Rfam family "tRNA". From Rfam's summary of the family: Transfer RNA (tRNA) molecules are approximately 80 nucleotides in length. Their secondary structure includes four short double-helical elements and three loops (D, anti-codon, and T loops). Further hydrogen bonds mediate the characteristic L-shaped molecular structure. tRNAs have two regions of fundamental functional importance: the anti-codon, which is responsible for specific mRNA codon recognition, and the 3' end, to which the tRNAs corresponding amino acid is attached (by aminoacyl-tRNA synthetases). tRNAs cope with the degeneracy of the genetic code in two manners: having more than one tRNA (with a specific anti-codon) for a particular amino acid; and 'wobble' base-pairing, i.e. permitting non-standard base-pairing at the 3rd anti-codon position. The record is from RNAcentral. Lineage: Eukaryota; Metazoa; Arthropoda; Insecta; Diptera; Syrphidae.
UUAGGGUUAUAGUUAAAAUUAUAACAUUUGAUUUGCAUUCAAAAAUAAUUGAUUAAUUCAAUUUACCUUAAU